Molecule: ribosomal RNA, 356 nt
Filed under: uncultured organism
Description: bacterial LSU rRNA
Rfam family: Bacterial large subunit ribosomal RNA
Source: RNAcentral
CUUUACUAUAACUUAACAUGGUCUUUGAGUAAGAGAUGUGUAGGAUAGGUGGGAGGCUGUGAGGGGGUGCCGCUAGGCAUCUCGGAGCCGACGUUGAAAUACCACCCUUCUGUUGCUUAGAGACUAACCUCGGAGAGGGGGACAGUGUUAGGCGGGUAGUUUGACUGGGGUGGUCGCCUCCGAAAGAGUAACGGAGGCUCCCAAAGGUGCCCUCAGCACGCUUGGUAACCGUGCGAAGAGCGUAUAAGUACAAGGGCGCUUGACUGAGAGACAGACAAGUCGAACAGGAACGAAAGUUGGGUUAAGUGAUCCGGUGGUUCUGAAUGGAAGGGCCAUCGCUCAAAGGAUAAAAGGUA